This 23-nucleotide small nuclear RNA is filed under the name Arabidopsis thaliana (thale cress). RNAcentral's name for it is "snRNA_03299". Lineage: Eukaryota; Viridiplantae; Streptophyta; Magnoliopsida; Brassicales; Brassicaceae. The record is from RNAcentral.
CAGCCAUUGUAAAUAAAUCUUAA